UGCUGAAACAGUGUUAAUUGGGGGGGGUCUGGAUUAUAUCCUCCUCGUCAGGACCUUGGAAGAUAACACCUACUGUCACUGCUGGGGCAGUGCUAAUUGCUGGAACAACACCUGUUUGUCAGGGCCCUGAGAAAGAAGGGCAGAACCCGAGGAAUCAACACAUUUGUCAGCAGAAACCGCAACAGUAAAGAUAAGGGAGAAAAGCAGCCUGCCUGGGAACAACGAUGAGACCCAAUAGGGAGCAGGAGACCCAAGACCCAAAAAUUACUAUUGGUCUGAACUACCGCGUGAGGGGUGGGAAACUUAAUUUGAAAAAGCUAUAAUUGCCCAGGGAUUUCUUUGUUCAGGAUCCCUCUUUGGAGGCACCCAACUCGAGCUGUAACUACUGCACGCGUGUCAUUCCAAACUUUUCAGCGGGAACCUAGGGUCGGACCCUGCUCGAGUUGUAAUUACUGCACGCGCAUCGCUAAAAUUUACACCCAGGGUGAAGAGGACCAACGGGACGCCGCUGGAUCCACAGACAUCUUUCAGGUGAACCAGAGGAUAAACAACAGUAAAUUGAGAAGCAAUUUGUCUGAGUUUCCCUGUGAAAGGAUAUAUGUUUCUAAAACAAGACAAACAGAAACCCCACUGCAGGAAAGACAAAGACAGGAGAAGACACUGAAGCUAUUGGAAUGUAUUGAUGUGGAAAGAGUAAGAAGCAUUUCCAGGGAGAGAUAUAUGCCCAAAAAAGAUUUGGAGAAGACUUUUUGAAAAGAAGAAACCUUUUUCUCUCUUCUUUACCAAUUCCCCAACCUUUUAUCAGAUGAGGAAGCUUUAGGUAAAAUGUAAUGGGUAAAAUAAAAAUCCAAGAAAAAUCCUUGGAAUUUUAUUAGUGCCUUUGCCCCUCCCUACUGUUGAAGGAGUGGAUAUUGUUGAUACUGAUGAUUCAAGCUGGUACUGGUUCAAGCCAAAAUAUCUGGAGAGGUUUAGGUUCUCAUUUAAUUCUGAAAUUAGACACCAAACUUUUUAUAUCUCUAUAGAGAAAUAGAGCUUUGAAUGACAGAAGGCAGGUUAAUUGUUAAUGCACGGUGAAUUCAUGUUGACAUAUGGCUUCAGAGGGACAUCUGUAGCCUGAGGUACUGGAACAACAAAGCUAGAAGUUUAUUUGUUAUAUAGCUUUGUAUAUUUAAAUUUUUUUUAAUCUGAUUAGACUGAUUCUAAACAGCUUUGUAUUUUAAGAAAACAGAUAAAUAAAGUUUAUCAAAAUAGUGUUAAUUAUCAGUUAAUUUCUUUGCUGUUAUUGGUUUUCU
Long non-coding RNA from Dromaius novaehollandiae (emu), 1292 nucleotides. RefSeq lists it as uncharacterized. NCBI's taxonomy places the organism in Eukaryota, Metazoa, Chordata, Aves, Casuariiformes, Dromaiidae. The record is from RefSeq and is a predicted model, not a curated record. The transcript has 3 exons.